UUUAUGGAGAGUUUGAUCCUGGCUCAGGAUGAACGCUGGCGGCGUGCCUAAUACAUGCAAGUCGAGCGAACGGACGAGAAGCUUGCUUCUCUGAUGUUAGCGGCGGACGGGUGAGUAACACGUGGAUAACCUACCUAUAAGACUGGGAUAACUUCGGGAAACCGGAGCUAAUACCGGAUAAUAUUUUGAACCGCAUGGUUCAAAAGUGAAAGACGGUCUUGCUGUCACUUAUAGAUGGAUCCGCGCUGCAUUAGCUAGUUGGUAAGGUAACGGCUUACCAAGGCAACGAUGCAUAGCCGACCUGAGAGGGUGAUCGGCCACACUGGAACUGAGACACGGUCCAGACUCCUACGGGAGGCAGCAGUAGGGAAUCUUCCGCAAUGGGCGAAAGCCUGACGGAGCAACGCCGCGUGAGUGAUGAAGGUCUUCGGAUCGUAAAACUCUGUUAUUAGGGAAGA
RNAcentral lists this ribosomal RNA (458 nucleotides) under Staphylococcus aureus. Its description in RNAcentral is "bacterial SSU rRNA". It matches the Rfam family "Bacterial small subunit ribosomal RNA", at positions 1 to 448 of the family's 1533-position model. The record is from RNAcentral. Lineage: Bacteria; Bacillati; Bacillota; Bacilli; Caryophanales; Staphylococcaceae.